UACGUAGGGUCCGAGCGUUGUCCGGAAUUAUUGGGCGUAAAGAGCGUGUAGGCGGUCCGGUAAGUCAGCUGUGAAAGUCAAGGGCUCAACCCUUGAAAGCCGGUUGAUACUGUCGGGCUAGAGUCCGGAAGAGGCGAGUGGAAUUCCCGGUGUAGCGGUGAAAUGCGCAGAUAUCGGGAGGAACACCAAUGGCGAAGGCAGCUCGCUGGGACGGUACUGACGCUGAGACGCGAAAGCGUGGGGAGCAAACAGG
This 253-nucleotide ribosomal RNA is filed under the name uncultured bacterium. RNAcentral describes it as "partial 16S ribosomal RNA". It matches the Rfam family "Bacterial small subunit ribosomal RNA", at positions 524 to 776 of the family's 1533-position model. The record is from RNAcentral.